GAUGAACGCUGGCGGCGUGCCUAAUACAUGCAAGUCGAGCGAACAGACGAGGAGCUUGCUCCUCUGACGUUAGCGGCGGACGGGUGAGUAACACGUGGAUAACCUACCUAUAAGACUGGGAUAACUUCGGGAAACCGGAGCUAAUACCGGAUAAUAUAUUGAACCGCAUGGUUCAAUAGUGAAAGACGGUUUUGCUGUCACUUAUAGAUGGAUCCUCGCCGCAUUAGCUAGUUGGUAAGGUAACGGCUUACCAAGGCAACGAUGCGUAGCCGACCUGAGAGGGUGAUCGGCCACACUGGAACUGAGACACGGUCCAGACUCCUACGGGAGGCAGCAGUAGGGAAUCUUCCGCAAUGGGCGAAAGCCUGACGGAGCAACGCCGCGUGAGUGAUGAAGGUCUUCGGAUCGUAAAACUCUGUUAUUAGGGAAGAACAAAUGUGUAAGUAAAUAUGCACGUCUUGACGGUACCUAAUCAGAAAGCAACGGCUAACUACGUG
Molecule: ribosomal RNA, 497 nt
Filed under: uncultured bacterium
Lineage: Bacteria
Description: partial 16S ribosomal RNA
Rfam family: Bacterial small subunit ribosomal RNA
Source: RNAcentral